AAAUCGAUCAAAUAUAAAGUUUAAUAUGGAUUCUGUUAUAGACAUAAUAUAUUUAUACAUUGAGCGUUUGUCUUCAUUUAAAGAGUGGAAGUAUGAUAAAUGUAGAAAAAGAAACACUUAUAUAUUAUAUAUGCGGAAGAGAGAAAGAAUGCAAGGAGCACCAAAGUGAUUUUUUUUCUGUCUUUACUUUAUUCCAAUUUCCUCAAUAUUUAAUCUAAAUAUUAUGGCUGUUUUUCAAUAAGAUACAUAAAUAACAGCUAAUUUAUAUCUAUAGAUUUUUCAUAAUAUACAUAUAAAUAGUUUUCCCAUAAUUCUUAAGUAACUAUAUGUAUAUUUUCAACUUUUAUCUAGAAAUUCACUUAAAAAAAAAGGCAUUAUUUAUUUUGUCACCGCUUUUCCGCGAUGCUGAUUGGUUGUUGGUCAAGUUUGUACUAUGUGACUUGCUUCACACUGUCGUCUGCUGCUGUCUAACUUUUGAUAAUUCAUCGCAUUGGACAAAAACUUUUAACAGUUCCCAGUAUUUGAAAAUCUCAAUUUGAUUGAGAAAGAGAAAGAGAGCCAGUUUUUGAGAAACGAAAGAAAUUUUAUAGAGAAAGAAAAAGAUUAGUGUGAGAGUUGAGUGUAAAAGAAAGAAAGAAGUUUAACCAAAAAGAAAUAAUUAAAUAAAGAGUUGGAAAAAGAGAAAGCGAGAAAUUACGUUUGGCAAGUAAUUAGAAGGAGAUACAGCGAGUGAGAA
This 736-nucleotide long non-coding RNA is filed under the name Monomorium pharaonis (pharaoh ant). Its description in RNAcentral is "uncharacterized LOC118646480". Lineage: Eukaryota; Metazoa; Arthropoda; Insecta; Hymenoptera; Formicidae. The record is from RNAcentral.